UAAACGUAAUUUCAUGCAGUGUCAGUUUAAAACAAUAUAUCAUGUCUGUGUUCCAGAGGAAGAAAGUGAUCACCGCAGCUAUGAGCAGGAUAUGGUUGCUGUUUUCCGUCGAUGAGGUGGUGAAAUGCAAGUCUAGGUGAUGCACAUGGAUUGCAUUUCAUGUAUGAGCACAGCAAAGCAGCAUCAAGGAUGAUGAGGUUGCAUGGCAUUGACCCCUUCCUUGCGGAGAAGCAGCACACUGCAAACAGAGCAGAAUCCGGUGAAGGGCAGAUGUCAGAGUGGCCACUGUCAGCCUGGACUCAGCCUGGCUUCACCAACAAGGGAGUGGGGUAGGGGUACUGAGACAGAGAGAGCCCACGGGCCUGUAAAUGUCACCCCAUCCAUGCAGAGACAGCACCACCACGGACCCUGGCUGUAGUUCUAUAAACACCUCUCCAUUCAGAGUGACCACCAGGGAAUUCACCAUUUCACCAUUCAGUAAUGUAAUGCCCCACAAGCUGUCUCUCAGCACAGUGCCAAGGAAACAUCCAGGUCUAAUGGCAGGAUACCCAGCAGCGAGUGCCAAGACUUCUUUCUCCCACUCUGUCUCCGAUUCCGAAGUAAGGAAGGACAAAGUGUCUUUCAUGGACAGAAAGGGUGGAAUGGGAGAGUGCCAAACCACACGAGACCGAGCCAAGCGCAGGAUCAAGCAGGAGGAAUGAAUGAUGGAAAGAUAAGGCACAAACUAAAGAGAACAGACCAAACAGGAAAAGCAAGCAAGAAGCAAAUGGGGGUGGGUGAGGUGGGGGUUGAGGAGGCGUCUCCUGGCGCAGUGCUGAGUGCGUGGUGGAUACUCACGUUGCAUACUUCUGCUUUUGUUCGGGGAAAAAAGGAAAAGAGGUGAUAUUUCCACAUGAUCAUAAAAAAGCUGUCGCUUCCUUCGCAGUUUACAGUUUGAACUUUUUAGUCAUUCUGCAAUGUUGUCUGCUUUGAGCACAUUGAGUAACAGGAGCCAGUCAGCAUGAGAGCUCUGUUAUCCUCCAUGAUUGAGUCUCAAUCUGAAUCUGAAGCAUUCUGCUCUGUUUUUUUUUUCUUCUUCUUUUUUUGCCUGUGUACAAAAGAAAACACAGGCAAUGUUCUGCCCUUUCUCUGCCAUUGCUGAGUUUUCUUUUAUGUAUUCAAAUUCCGUUCGGCAGCAUAAAAUCCUCCCAAGAGGCAUCAUUGUCCUCACGGCCGUCCCAUGGGCUUCCCAUCACAUAGCUGCAUCUCUUCAGCCGCAUAAUACAACACCCAGAAGAUCCGUUGCUGCACGGGCUUCCUUUUGAACAGUCGCACGCAAUUCGAGGAAGAUUAAUUAAAACGCUUUUAAAGCCACUGCUGAUUGAGUCGAUUCCCAAAGACUUCGCUAAAAAAGCCGCUCCGCUCGCAGUCAGGCCCGAGACAAAUGGGCCGAACAGCCUUUCACCGAUUUCACCCUCCGAAUAAUAAAUCUGUUAUGUCAUUACGUGCCGUGAUAAAG
Molecule: long non-coding RNA, 1498 nt
Filed under: Astyanax mexicanus (Mexican tetra)
Lineage: Eukaryota; Metazoa; Chordata; Actinopteri; Characiformes; Acestrorhamphidae
Description: lncRNA (ENSAMXG00005008106.1)
Source: RNAcentral